AUCAAUUCAACCAAAACAAAUGUCCCUAAUCAAAUAGGAAGCUUUGCUUUCAGCAAAGUGGUUUCGGGAAUGUGAACACAUGAUUUGCACCAUCAAUCAUAGAACCCGUCUAUCAACCCAACAUUCUCUCUGCAGACGGCCUCAAAAACCUGCUUCUUCAAAGGAAGAUGAACAGCAGUCAUUACAUGCCAAGUAACUCAGGCUGCAUUACACUCAGGUUGGAAAAGGAGCAUGUUCCGGCAGAUGAAAUGUUACCAGCCAGCUUCCUGCCCCUGAUGGCAUCCCAUGUCUUCCCAGCCAUGACGAUUCUGUACAUCUAGAAACCUGAGCUAAAAUGAAUCCUUUUCUUGCUUAAGACACUUUGGUCGUGAUAUUUUAUCACAGCAACAGAAAAAUAUCUUCCAAGUUCUGAGUAGAACCCACCUGUCACCCAAGAGGAAGACCAAUGAGAUAAUGGGCCCAAUGCACUCAGUACCAGCCCAGCAUACAUGGAGCCAAGUCUAGUGUAGUUGGAAAUCUGCAUCAGGAGCUUUUGUGAGUCUGUAGACUGCCUACUAUUUAAAGGGUCUUAGUGCAUCUGUCAUUUGUUGGGGAUUUAGCUCAGUGGUAGAGCAUUUGCCUAGCAAGUGCAA
Onychomys torridus (southern grasshopper mouse) is the source of this 632-nucleotide long non-coding RNA. RefSeq lists it as uncharacterized. The transcript is spliced from 3 exons. NCBI's taxonomy places the organism in Eukaryota, Metazoa, Chordata, Mammalia, Rodentia, Cricetidae. The record is from RefSeq and is a predicted model, not a curated record.